This 505-nucleotide ribosomal RNA is filed under the name uncultured bacterium. RNAcentral describes it as "partial 16S ribosomal RNA". It matches the Rfam family "Bacterial small subunit ribosomal RNA", at positions 28 to 507 of the family's 1533-position model. The record is from RNAcentral.
GACGAACGCUGGCGGCGUGCCUAAUACAUGCAAGUCGAACGCACAGUUUAUACCGUAGCUUGCUACACCAUAGACUGUGAGUUGCGAACGGGUGAGUAACGCGUAGGUAACCUGCCUGGUAGCGGGGGAUAACUAUUGGAAACGAUAGCUAAUACCGCAUAAUAUUAAUUAUUGCAUGAUAAUUAAUUGAAAGGUGCAAUUGCACCACUACCAGAUGGACCUGCGUUGUAUUAGCUAGUAGGUGAGGUAACGGCUCACCUAGGCGACGAUACAUAGCCGACCUGAGAGGGUGAUCGGCCACACUGGGACUGAGACACGGCCCAGACUCCUACGGGAGGCAGCAGUAGGGAAUCUUAGGCAAUGGACGAAAGUCUGACCGAGCAACGCCGCGUGAGUGAAGAAGGGUUUCGGAUCGUAAAGCUCGGUUGUAAGAGAAGAACGGGUGUGAGAGUGGAAAGUUCACAAUGUGACGGUAUCUUACCAGAAAGGGACGGCUAACUACGUG